Molecule: ribosomal RNA, 495 nt
Filed under: uncultured bacterium
Lineage: Bacteria
Description: partial 16S ribosomal RNA
Rfam family: Bacterial small subunit ribosomal RNA
Source: RNAcentral
AUGAACGCUGGCGGCGUGCCUAAUACAUGCCAGUCGAGCGAACGGACGAGAAGCUUGCUUCUCUGAUGUUAGCGGCGGACGGGUGAGUAACACGUGGAUAACCUACCUAUAAGACUGGGAUAGCUUCGGGAAACCGGAGCUAAUACCGGAUAAUAUUUUGAACCGCAUGGUUCAAAAGUGAAAGACGGUCUUGCUGUCACUUAUAGAUGGAUCCGCGCUGCAUUAGCUAGUUGGUAAGGUAACGGCUUACCAAGGCAACGAUGCAUAGCCGACCUGAGAGGGUGAUCGGCCACACUGGAACUGAGACACGGUCCAGACUCCUACGGGAGGCAGCAGUAGGGAAUCUUCCGCAAUGGGCGAAAGCCUGACGGAGCAACGCCGCGUGAGUGAUGAAGGUCUUCGGAUCGUAAAACUCUGUUAUUAGGGAAGAACAUAUGUGUAAGUAACUGUGCACAUCUUGACGGUACCUAAUCAGAAAGCCACGGCGAACUACGU